This 500-nucleotide ribosomal RNA is filed under the name uncultured bacterium. RNAcentral describes it as "partial 16S ribosomal RNA". It matches the Rfam family "Bacterial small subunit ribosomal RNA", at positions 30 to 523 of the family's 1533-position model. The record is from RNAcentral.
AUUGAACGCUGGCGGAAUGCUUUACACAUGCAAGUCGAACGGCAGCACGGACUUCGGUCUGGUGGCGAGUGGCGAACGGGUGAGUAAUGUAUCGGAACGUGCCCAGUCGUGGGGGAUAACGUAGUGAAAAUUACGCUAAUACCGCAUACGAUCUAUGGAUGAAAGCGGGGGAUCGCAAGACCACGCGCGAUUGGAGCGGCCGAUAUCAGAUUAGGUAGUUGGUGGGGUAAAGGCCCACCAAGCCAACGAUCUGUAGCUGGUCUGAGAGGACGACCAGCCACACUGGAACUGAGACACGGUCCAGACUCCUACGGGAGGCAGCAGUGGGGAAUUUUGGACAAUGGGCGAAAGCCUGAUCCAGCCAUUCCGCGUGCAGGAUGAAGGCUCUCGGGUUGUAAACUGCUUUUGUACAGAACGAAAAGGUUUCUACUAAUACUAGGAGCUCAUGACGGUACUGUAAGCAUAAGCACCCGCUAACUACCUGCCAGCCGCCGCGGUAA